GACUUGGUAGCUCAGCUGGUAGAGCAUUUCACUUUUAAUGAAGGGGUCCUGGGUUCGAAUCCCAGCCAGGUCACAA
This 76-nucleotide transfer RNA is filed under the name Bacteroidetes bacterium HGW-Bacteroidetes-12. RNAcentral describes it as "tRNA-Lys". It matches the Rfam family "tRNA". From Rfam's summary of the family: Transfer RNA (tRNA) molecules are approximately 80 nucleotides in length. The record is from RNAcentral. Lineage: Bacteria; Pseudomonadati; Bacteroidota. RNAcentral also lists the same sequence under 1 other name.